This is a non-coding RNA of Oryza sativa Japonica Group (Japanese rice), 3039 nucleotides long. Lineage: Eukaryota; Viridiplantae; Streptophyta; Magnoliopsida; Poales; Poaceae. The record is from RefSeq and is a predicted model, not a curated record.
AAACCCUAGCCUCAUUGUCCGCUUCCCUCGCAGCCUCGCAGGUGCGCCGCCUCGCCUGCUCCUCCCUCACGCGCGCCGGCCCGCAGCCCGCUCCCUCGCCCUUCUCCUCCCCUCGCAUACGCCGUCAUCGCCGUCGUCGCCGCCGCCGCCGUCGCUCGGUGCCCUCUCCUUCAUGCUCUCCAUCCUCGGCUACUCCUCCCCUCGCUUUGCGCCAUUGCCGCCUCACCCUCCUCCUCUUAUCAUCGCAGUGCCGACGCCGUCCUCCUUGCCGGUGGAUCAGCGAGGAGCCCGGGGCUGCCAGAUCCGAAGACCCCGACCUCGCUGGUGGAUCUAGCAGCCUGGAGGAAAGGGACGCAAGCCAUAGCGACCCUCUUCCCCUCUUUCAUCUCUGCUCCGCCAUCACAUCUCUCUCGAUCGACCUAUCCGCGCCGCUUGGUUGUUGCAGGUUUGUCUCGAUGGCCGUCGGAAUUGAUGAUCUCGACCAGAAGUGAAGGCUGCCACCCCUGCUCUCUUCUCCUCUUCCUCUCCGGUCCUCCACUGCUCCUCUCGACCCUCUUCCUCCCGCUCUCCGCGCCGCUCGGUGGCAGAUCCAAGGGGCUAUUUGGUCUCCUAUGAGGAGGACACAUGAACGCUAGGGUGUGGGGGCUGACCGAUGGCUAGGAGGCUGGGAAGGAGAAGCUAGAGCCAGAGUGGCGCGGCUCAGACCCCAAAGCCACGACGACGGCAGGGCAGCGUCGACUAUGGCUAGGUACAGUGACGACGACUGCAACAGCUUGGUUGGUCCUGCUCUUUUUUUCUUCUUCACUUCUUUUUUUGGUUCACUGGGAGAGGCAACCCACUACUGAUGGGCAUUUGAACUAACAUGGCAUCUCUCCUGGAGCAACUGUCAGUACUUGCAUUGCAGUCAAAUUGGCGAAUCCAGAGAAGUAUACCCUGUGCGACAUUCUAAUUAUGGGUCUCCUAAUUUUCAUAUCCAAAAAUAGAAGUAUGAAGCUGUGCUAGGUCUGCUCACAAAUGGUUCUUUGUGGAGCAUAUCAGUAUAUAGGUAAAUUGUGCUUUAGAUUUUCUCCUUAAAUCAUAUGAAAAGUCUAUAUAUGCUUCUUCAUUGCGCAUGACUGUUGCAGUACUGAUAUGACCCUUUGCCAUGGACUCUCUGCGAUCUUCCCAUUGUAUGGAGCACAAGAAUAACAUAUACGCCAGAUAUUUAAUCUAUAGAAACUUCAAUGUUGCACUUUGUCUUCAGAAUUACCUAUUGUCUAAAUAUACCAUGUAUCCAGCUGUAAUACCAAUUAUUUACUUACAUUUUAUAGAGGAGUUUAUCAAAAUUGUUCUAAGAUAAUAUAAUAUGGCAGGAUAUUUUUAUAGUUUCAUGGAGGUUUACACAUUUAGUACCAUAGCUUUCGUUUUACUAGGCUUUCUCAAUGUUUCCUUAAAGGCAUGAGAUCAUUUUUUUUAAACAUGCUGCUGAUGGCAAGUUAGUUUUUCUAUGUAACUGCGGUGAACUGAUACCAGUAAUGUGCUCAUCCAAUCGUUAAAGAAAACUUGCGCUGAGUUAGUGAUCUUAAGAUAGUAACUGUCAUACAAAUGACCUUUUGUUAGGUGCAGCAUUGUUUAGACUUUGGAGGAUUCAACUCUUUUGAACUUAUGUGAAUGGAAGUAUCUAAUACUACCUGAGUACCUGUUCAGUCAAGAAAAUCACAUGCAAGGUAUUUUGGAUCUUGAUAGGUUCUACACAAACUAAUAUCUAGCUUUUGGUUGAUGAGAAUUUCUGCUCCAUACUGAAGGAGUUUGUUGUUGUAGUUGUACAUAUCCUGGUGGAUGGGCUCACGUAAUUUUCUGGAGCCUCAAAUCCGCAAUUACAUUGUCAAAUUUUGACUGACUGCCAUGCUUGACUGAUUCUUUACCUCAUGCACGUGCUCUAUGGACGCUGUAACCUUUUGGUUUAAGUGCAUUGCUCAGGUGCUCCUGACGACAGGACUUCGUUGUACACAAUUGUGCAAAUUUGAGUGGAUGAGCUUGUACUUGCAGGACCAUUUUCUAUUUUCUUAUAAGCAAAAAGUGAAAGAACAAGAGUGACCCACAAAGCAUGGCUUUCAUUAUUGAAUCAGAAAGUGCAAAACUUAAUAUUCACAUUGUAGAGAGCAUAUUUGAGGUUGAAAGAUUGUACAGCUGCAUUCGUGUAGAAUCGAUUUGCUAUAGAAAGAAAUGGUUUGUGGGUCACAGUUUAGUUGGACCAACCUUUUUCUCAUUAGUCACCUUACAACUCACAAGGAGCAACACGUAGCAGUAUAGCACUUUUUUAGAGGAACCAUUUCUUCUGUUUGAUGCGUGCACACUGUACGGCUAUGAUAAAUCUUAAACGGGUGACAGGUAAUUGGAUGCACACUGUACUCUUGAUUUGUGCAGCUAUCCUUUCUUUCCAACGAGUGUGAAUCAAUCCCUUCAAAAUUUCUUCUACCUAUGUACGUAUUGAUGUAGUUGCGAUCCAAUUUGUACUUUUUUAAUUGUUGCAUGCUCUAUGUAUGUACAUGCUUUUUAUUUCAUUCAAUUUGGUAUAUACUAUGUGAGCACAAAAUGCAUUCAAGUAAUAUUUAGUCAGUAGGUCUCAACUCUUCUCUAAAGGACGUAAUGAAUUGGAUUUGUAUACUUGCUCUGUUUUCAUCUGACUAACUCUGGAUUUGUAUACUUUGCUCUGUUUUCAUUAACUCUGAAACAUCCUUACAAUGCAGGUGCCAUAUAGUGUCGAUAAUUCAGGAAGGGAAAGCUAUGUGGACAAAAAAUGAUGUCCUUUUUAGUGUUCCAUGGUAGUUUAUUUAUUUUUACUUUUUCAAUGAUCGUUGUGACAAACAUGUAAAGUUAUCUAAUAUACUCCAUAGUGUGUAGGGCUAUGUCUCUUGGUAUGAGAGCUGCUUUUGCUUAGCACACGAUUUUACACAUAGUCAUCCGAUCAAACGAAUCAAAAUAUAUUUGGAUCUUACCUAUAUAUACAUGUAUAUCAUUUUCCACUUAAUGCUGAGAAUUGUAGCUAUUUCGUAGAAA